AGUGUAAACUGUCUGCAGUCCCCAUGCUCUCCAAAAUCAAUCUCGGAGAGCAAGGCAGUGUUUUGCUGAGAUUAAGCAGAUUUGCAAAUUAGGAAGAUUAAAUGGAAAUGUAAUGAAAUGAAAAUUAAAUGUCCUUCUAUUUUUUUUAUUAUUAUUUUUUAUUUUUAUUAUUUUUUUGAGAGAGAGAGAGAGACAGAGACAGAGACAGAGAGGAAGGAAGGAAAAAAAAAGGAAAAAUCGCCCUUUCCUGGGAGGUGUCUUUUGAGUGAUCCCCCAAAACGCCUUUCCCGGAGCAGCUCCCUGUCAAACUACACGCGCUCCCGUCCGGAGGGACUGAAAAGUGAUUCAAACUCUCCGGGAAGCACAGACAUUUUUAAUUCCAUCUGAUGCAGCAGCUCGGAAAGCAGCGAGAUCAGCCACCGGGGCUGCAAAGGAGGCUCUCUGCCUCCUCAAAUCCCCCAAAAGCAGAGCGGUUUUACUCAUCAAGGAAACAGCCGAGAAAAAGAAGGAUCGGAGGCACUCACCAGAGCGUAGACCGAGCUCAGCACGGAGCAGCAGAGGAUCAAACCCAGGCUGUGAUAAACCAGAUAUGAUCCCAUAUCCAAGGGGCUCCUUCCAGCAUCCACGCUCUCUCGGGGAAGUUGGAGGACGGAGAGGUCUUCCAGCGCUCCGCUUGCAGAUGAUUUCUCCUUCCCUCCCUCCAACCUCCCCCCCCCUCCACCUCACUCUCCAGAACCGGUGUUUGUUUGUUUGUCUGUUUGUUUGUUUGUUUGUUUUAGCCGGAAAGGCACAUGACGAGAAAGCCCGGUCCUUUGCUUCGCUUUCUCAUGGCUGGAGAUGCGGGCAGCUCCCGAAAGGCAGCGGAGGAGCCCAUGCGAAGAAGCGGAGCGACUUCGGCUUCGCUCAGCGCCGCAGCCCCCGGUGCUGGUUGUUUUCCGCGUGCAUCUGUCUCAGAGCAGAAAAAUCACAUCCAUAUGUCAAAGCCGCGCUCUUCUGUUUCCUUUUUAUGAGGCAGUGGGAAGUUCAAAUAAUUUCUUUGUCAAACGCAAACACACAGAAAGAGGCAGAGAGGGAGGGAGGGAGGGAGAAAGGCGAGAGAGGGGUGGAAGGGGUGGGAGAUCGGAGAGGGUGGGGGAGGCUUUAAACCACGGCUUUAUUUUUAGAUCCAGUAAUUUUAUCUUUUGGGUUUCGGAGGGGUUUGGAAAGAAAGAGAGAGAGGAAAAAAAAAAAAAAAAAAGCCUUUUUUUUCUUUUAAUUCUUCUUUUUCUCCACUUUCGCCACACGAACGGCUCUCAGAGCAGAAAGUUACGGGGAAAAAAAAAUAGCGAAAACUUGGAGAUAUUUUCCCUCCUCAUUUACUUUUUCUUCGCAAACAGCGGUGCUUUUGGGGGGGACCUUUUCCUCCUUUUUUUUUUUUUUUUUUUCCUUGCUGGUGUAUCGCCGCGCGUUUCGCCUCCACAAUAGGUUUAUUCUCCAGCCCUCCGGGUCGAAGUGUGUUUCAGUUACAAAUCGGGAUUUUUUCGCUCCUCUCUCCCCUCUCUGCCUCAGAGGAUCUGCAGUUUCAAAAAGCCGAUUGAACACGGCGUGAAAGCGUGAGGCUGACGACUCCCCCGCCUCCUACCGCCACUCUCUCUAGUCCUCGUUCCGUGCCCCGCAAGGAGGAGCCCCCCGCGGAGCCCCCGGCGCAUCGCAUCCCCGCUUUCCCCCCCUCAUGUCCCCAGCACCUCGCACCCCUCGUGGAUGUCACCAGCAUCGCAGUUUCAAGGCUGGGGAUGGUGCUCCCAGCUCAGCCGGGCGCUUUCAUUCAUAAAAUGACAAGAUUGUAUCCAUGAAUGUGUGUAUAAUGAACCCAGAAGGAAUGCAGCACUAAAAGAAGCCUUUGUAAUGUUGCUAUUUUAAGGAGACCCUUGGGUAUGGCACGUGUUGAACUGAGUUUCUCCAACAUCUUACAACAAACCAAAAUGUUUAGAUCCUCCUACUGAUGUAAGACAGCAUAAAAAAAAUACAUAAUCAAUCUAAACUGGCUAAGGUUUUGACCAGGAAUUAUUGCUCCUGUGAAUUGGCUCUGUAUUGUAGCUAACUUUUACACGGCCUAAUAAUAAACAUCUCCUCCUCCCAGCUGGGUGAAUGUUUCCCCUCUGCUGGAGAUCAGGUCCCAGCCUGGAUAAAACACCUCUUGUCCUUUCUCUCCUCGGUCACUCAGGUUCAGUGAAACAUCAUGACUUACAUCAGCCAAAGCCUUUGAUCAGGGAGGGAAAGGUCUGACAUGGAUGGGGUUGGCAGCCACGCUGCAAGAAUCCCUCAUUGUGCAAGAAGCCAGUCCAAUGACCGACUGUCACCAAGGGCCGAUGCUUUGGACCCAGAAAGACACAAGUGGGAUGGAGAUCAGAGCCCUGGGCUUUUCCCCGCAGACCAGCAACUGGUGCCAUUUCUGGCUGAUUCUCUACUUUUCUCUUCCUAGUGAGGGUCUUUUGUUAUUUAUCAGCUCCUUUCAAAGCAACAACCUAAGAGAUUUCACAAUACUUUUCACAUAUGGUUACUCAGCCUGGGGCUCUCCACAGCUUAGCUGUUUCAGUGAUAUUUGCACAGCACUGAGCAACAGCAUUCCUGACCUGCAGGAGAAGUGAGUGCCUCAAACCUCCUUUUCUCCAUAUACACAAGAUCUUUUUUUGCUCUUAAAAAACCCCAGACCCCUCUCCCCAUCCCUGCCAGUUGCACGGCAGACUGGAUGUCCUUGGCAGCACACUUGGGCUUGCAUCCAUUUUUCUUCUUUGUGUGUGUGUGUGUUGUCAUCCAAUGCAUGGCCAGAACCAAAGGCAAACUCGUGUGUGUGUUGUCAUCCAAUGCAUGGCCAGAACCAAAGGCAAACUCCAUUUGGGAGGUGAGCAAGGAAAACCCCUCCAAAACAGCCAGGAGCUGAAAAGAUUUGGCAAGCUUUGCAGGAGAAAACUGCCAGCAGGGAAAGACGAGGUGGAGGCAUUACUCUGACAGAAGAAGCUCUGAUUAGCAGAUUAUCACUUAAGUGAUGUUGAUCCCAGCCACGCUGCCUUCCAAAUGAGCCCUUUCACAGCUGCCAGCUGCACCACGGAGUCGUGAAUGUAAAUGAGUGGGCCAGAUCCUCUGCUGGCAUCCAUCGACGUGGCUUUGAUGGACCGUCCUGGAUCUACAACAGCCGGAGGAGUGUGGCUGUCAUGGGAGCCUGACUUGCUAUGCAGAUUUCUUUGAGAGCCUGUGGGAAAGGGCCUGAAGCUGGAUGUACUGCAGGAUAGGGCAGCAUCAACUGCACAGCUGGAGGGACCCUUGAGACUUUGACUUUUGCUGCCAAACAAAGCCAUCUUUUUGCUGAGCUUGUAAACUGUUCCCUGGUACCGUACGCCAGCAUAUAGCAUCCUGCCCUCAUAAAGCUCUACUUAUCUCCAUCCAACUUCUUGGGCUGAGCGUGUGGGAAGCAUGUGAGGGACACUCAUGAGCAGCCUCGCAUUCUCCGAGCUGUGCUUUCCCCUGGGGGUGAGCAUUCCCCUAAGUGCACAGUCCAUUUCAGCUCUGAUAAGUCUUCAGAGGUGAUGGCCUGAAACCUGCAGAGCUGGUGGUGAGAAGGCAUACUUGACCUCUGGCCACGUCCAUCCAAUCUGACAGACUGGUCUUCGGAGAAUGGUGACCAAGAAUAAGCUCCAUGUCCCACAUGCCACCUGUUCAUCUGCACCGCUCCCUCUCCAGCAGCUCAUGGGCCGUGCCCAGCCUAUGUGUGACACCUCUCUGGCUGCUCAGAUGGAAAGUAAGAGCUUGGAGAGUGAGGACAGCAUGGAGUUAUGGAAGACAUGGCUACAAGACCAUUCUUUCUCCAUCUCCAUGUGCUUCUGAAGGACCAGUCUGAUUCUGGCUCCUGCCAACUUAGGAUAUGCUAUGAUUCUGUGAACACUUUUUGCAGCAAGUCAGCCAUAAGAAACAACAUACUCUCAGACAAUCAAGCCUCCAAAUUAAGAUGGGGAGCCUUGUUGUGAAGGAGAUGGGUUUUUUUUUCCUACUGUAGAAGGGAUGUUCAAUGCUAUAGUGACAAGGAACAAUUCUUCAGCCUUAGACAGCAGAAAGAAGAAACAUAAAGAGACUGUACAGUUCUUGGGACACCGAGACAACUAUCUACGUGCUUUGUGGAAGCAGAGACAAGUAUGAGAUUUGGCUUUCUGGGCUAUGAGGGCACACAGCUGGCUCACAUCCAGCUCCCAUCCACCAUUUAGAUAAGAUACUAUUGCUUUUAAUAAAGACAAGUCAAAGAUCUUCUCCUAAGUGCUCUUAAAGAACUCCAGCAUUGUGUCUACAAUAAUCCAUCCGCCUUAAAGGAUCCAGCAGUACAUCACCACCAGUGGAUAUAAGAAGUAAUUAGUCAUCAUUUAGGGAAGUAAGAUUUAACAGUUAUUUUGUUGGCAGAAGUGCCGUGAUAAAAAUGGUACUCUGAAAGUUAUUUGGUAUUUCUCAUUGUUGCCAGAGUUCUGAACAUUUUGAUAGGAUGAAAAUAGACUUCGGUAGGAAAGUUGUGGAUUUUUUCCCCUCCAUUUAGUAGAAAUAUAAAUGUUACAAAAUAAAUAAUGAUAGAAUAUAUGUGUAUAUAUUUUCAAUGCAUAUUUUAAAAUGCAUAUGAAAUGCAUUUUUUAAAAUAUUUUGUUCAAAUAUUUUUACUAAUGUUGUAUACCUUGCAUCUGUGAAGUGGGUUAUCCCUUAAACAUCCUUUCUUCAGACAGUACUGGGAUUCAUCCUCAGGCCCCGUUAUCUUGCUCUACGUUUCCUAGAGUCCAUCUAUAUAAUAAAUGAGAAUACUGCAUGGUUA
Long non-coding RNA from Gallus gallus (chicken), 4822 nucleotides. RefSeq lists it as uncharacterized. NCBI's taxonomy places the organism in Eukaryota, Metazoa, Chordata, Aves, Galliformes, Phasianidae. The transcript has 6 exons. The record is from RefSeq and is a predicted model, not a curated record.